RNAcentral lists this transfer RNA (69 nucleotides) under Janus sp. 1 GYN-2022e. Its description in RNAcentral is "tRNA-Thr". The record is from RNAcentral. Lineage: Eukaryota; Metazoa; Arthropoda; Insecta; Hymenoptera; Cephidae.
UACUAUAUAGUUUAAAUUAAAACAUUAAUCUUGUAAAUUAAAUAUAAAUUUUUUACAAUUUUAUAGUAA